RNAcentral lists this long non-coding RNA (411 nucleotides) under Pongo abelii (Sumatran orangutan). RNAcentral's name for it is "lincRNA". The record is from RNAcentral. Lineage: Eukaryota; Metazoa; Chordata; Mammalia; Primates; Hominidae.
GCGUCUCUCCGACUCCUCGCGUGGGGUAGGCUUGGGGGCUGUUGGCCCCUCUUGGCCGCCAUCGCCGCGCCCCGAGGGAAACUGACAUGAAACGGACUCGUUGAGGAAAAGACAGAGAAUGCAGCCUCUGGUGCUGUUUGAGUGAUCCCUCUCCCCCGGGCCUGGCCGCGUGCUGCUGUGUUCUGGAAAGGCUCAUUGUACAGUCAAGACGGCAGUCUUGAGGAUCCAUUUUCUGAGAUGGUAAUGGGAAAGAUGUUGGUUGUCAAGUGGAAUCUCAGCAGUCAUUUUCAGACAAAGUUAGAGAAAACAAGUAUGGAAGAUGCCUGAUUCUCAAAGAGUCAUCCAGCCUUGGGAUUACCGCCUAUGUCCAUGGAAGUGAAAGUCCUCUUUUUCUUUGUACCACUUACUGAG